CCUACGGGAGGCUGCAGUCGAGAAUAUUCGACAAUGGGCGAAAGCCUGAUCGAGCGACGUCGCGUGGUGGAUGAAGUCCUUCGGGACGUAAACAUCUUUUAUGAGGGAAGAAGUAAUUGACAUUACCUCAUGAAUAAGGGGCUCCUAACUCUGUGCCAGCAGGAGCGGUAAUACAGAGGCCCCAAGCAUUACCCGGAAUCACUGGGCGUAAAGGGUGUGUAGGUGGUCGUAUUAGUCGAGUGUUAAAUCCCGGGGCUUAACCCCGGAAUCGCGCUCGAAACGGUACGACUUGAGAGCGUAAGAGGUGAAUGGAACUCAUGGUGUAGGGGUGAAAUCCGUUGAUAUCAUGGGGAACACCGAAAGCGAAAGCAAUUCACUGGUACGUUUCUGACACUCAAACACGAAAGCGUAGGUAGCGAAUGGGAUUAGAUACCCUUGUA
RNAcentral lists this ribosomal RNA (440 nucleotides) under uncultured bacterium. RNAcentral describes it as "bacterial SSU rRNA". It matches the Rfam family "Bacterial small subunit ribosomal RNA", at positions 338 to 792 of the family's 1533-position model. The record is from RNAcentral.